UAAUACGUAGGAUCCGAGCGUUGUCCGGAAUUACUGGGCGUAAAGGGUGCGUAGGCGGCAAUGUGCGUCAGAGGUGAAAUCCACGGGCUUAACUUGUGGGGUGCCUUUGAUACGGCAUAGCUUGAGUACGAGAGAGGUCGAUGGAAUUCCUGGUGUAGCAGUGAAAUGCGUAGAUAUCAGGAGGAACACCGGUGGCGAAGGCGGUCGGCUGGCUCGUAACUGACGCUGAGGCACGAAAGCGUGGGGAUCAAACAGG
Molecule: ribosomal RNA, 256 nt
Filed under: uncultured bacterium
Lineage: Bacteria
Description: partial 16S ribosomal RNA
Rfam family: Bacterial small subunit ribosomal RNA
Source: RNAcentral